RNAcentral lists this ribosomal RNA (601 nucleotides) under Rhodococcoides fascians. RNAcentral's name for it is "bacterial SSU rRNA". It matches the Rfam family "Bacterial small subunit ribosomal RNA", at positions 56 to 674 of the family's 1533-position model. Lineage: Bacteria; Bacillati; Actinomycetota; Actinomycetes; Mycobacteriales; Nocardiaceae. The record is from RNAcentral.
UGCAAGUCGAGCGGUAAGGCCUUUCGGGGUACACGAGCGGCGAACGGGUGAGUAACACGUGGGUGAUCUGCCCUGCACUCUGGGAUAAGCUUGGGAAACUGGGUCUAAUACCGGAUAUGACCACAGCAUGCAUGUGUUGUGGUGGAAAGAUUUAUCGGUGCAGGAUGGGCCCGCGGCCUAUCAGCUUGUUGGUGGGGUAAUGGCCUACCAAGGCGACGACGGGUAGCCGACCUGAGAGGGUGACCGGCCACACUGGGACUGAGACACGGCCCAGACUCCUACGGGAGGCAGCAGUGGGGAAUAUUGCACAAUGGGCGGAAGCCUGAUGCAGCGACGCCGCGUGAGGGAUGAAGGCCUUCGGGUUGUAAACCUCUUUCAGCAGGGACGAAGCGUGAGUGACGGUACCUGCAGAAGAAGCACCGGCUAACUACGUGCCAGCAGCCGCGGUAAUACGUAGGGUGCGAGCGUUGUCCGGAAUUACUGGGCGUAAAGAGUUCGUAGGCGGUUUGUCGCGUCGUUUGUGAAAACCCGGGGCUCAACUUCGGGCUUGCAGGCGAUACGGGCAGACUUGAGUGUUUCAGGGGAGACUGGAAUUCCUGGU